This 253-nucleotide ribosomal RNA is filed under the name uncultured bacterium. RNAcentral's name for it is "partial 16S ribosomal RNA". It matches the Rfam family "Bacterial small subunit ribosomal RNA", at positions 524 to 776 of the family's 1533-position model. The record is from RNAcentral.
UACGUAGGGAGCAAGCGUUGUCCGGAUUUACUGGGUGUAAAGGGUGCGUAGGCGGCCCUGCAAGUCAGAAGUGAAAUCCAUGGGCUUAACCCGUGAACUGCUUUUGAAACUGUAGGGCUUGAGUGAAGUAGAGGCAGGCGGAAUUCCCGGUGUAGCGGUGAAAUGCAUAGAUAUCACGCAGAACUCCGAUUGCGAAGGCAGCAUACCGGCGCUCAACUGACGCUCAUGCACGAAAGUGCGGGUAUCGAACAGG